RNAcentral lists this ribosomal RNA (449 nucleotides) under uncultured bacterium. RNAcentral describes it as "partial 16S ribosomal RNA". It matches the Rfam family "Bacterial small subunit ribosomal RNA", at positions 29 to 523 of the family's 1533-position model. The record is from RNAcentral.
AACGAACGCUGGCGGCAGGCUUAACACAUGCACGUCGAACGGGAUCUUCGGAUCUAGUGGCGCACGGGUGAGUAACGCGUAGGAAUUUACCCAUUAAUCUGGAACAACAGCGGGAAACUGCUGCUAAUGCCCGAUACGCUUUUCGUAGGAAAGAUUUAUCGUGAACGGAUGCACCUGCGUUGGAUUGGGUAGUUGGUGAGGUAAGGGCUCACCACGCCGAUGAUCCAUAGCCGGUCUGAGAGGAUGAUCGGCCACACUGGGACUGAGACACGGCCCAGACUCCUACGGGAGGCGGCAGUGGGGAAUAUUGGGCAAUGGGCGCAAGCCUGACCCAGCCAUGCCGCGUGAGUGAUGAAGGCCUUAGGGUUGUAAAGCUCUUUUAGUGGUGAAGAUGAUGACUGUAGCCACAGAAAAAGCCCCGGCUAACUUCGUGCCAGCCGCCGCAGUAA